This is a non-coding RNA of Trichonephila clavipes, 73 nucleotides long. The record is from the annotation of a GenBank genome assembly. NCBI's taxonomy places the organism in Eukaryota, Metazoa, Arthropoda, Arachnida, Araneae, Nephilidae.
GUCCCUGUUGUGCAACGGAUAGCGCGUUGGGCUUCUAAUCCAAAGGUUGAGGGUUCAAAUCCCUCCUGGGAUG